RNAcentral lists this ribosomal RNA (271 nucleotides) under uncultured prokaryote. Its description in RNAcentral is "partial 16S ribosomal RNA". It matches the Rfam family "Bacterial small subunit ribosomal RNA", at positions 524 to 794 of the family's 1533-position model. The record is from RNAcentral.
CACGUAGGAGGCAAACGUUAUCCGGAUUUACUGGGCGUAAAGCGCGUGUAGGUGGUUCUGUAAGUAGGGCGUGAAAGCUCCCGGCUCAACUGGGAGAGGCCGUUCUAAACUGCAGAGCUAGAGGAUGGUAGAGGGAGGUGGAAUUCCAGGUGUAGCGGUGGAAUGCGCAGAUAUCUGGAGGAACACCAGUGGCGAAAGCGGCCUCCUGGACCAUUCCUGACACUCAGACGCGAAAGCUAGGGUAGCAAACGGGAUUAGAUACCCUGGUAGU